Molecule: unclassified non-coding RNA, 425 nt
Filed under: soil metagenome
Description: partial contains 5.8S ribosomal RNA, internal transcribed spacer 2, and large subunit ribosomal RNA
Rfam family: 5.8S ribosomal RNA (bases 1-120)
Source: RNAcentral
GAUGAAGAACGCAGCGAAAUGCGAUAAGUAGUGUGAAUUGCAGAAUUCCGUGAAUCAUCGAAUCUUUGAACGCACAUUGCGCCUUCUGGUAUUCCGGAAGGCAUGCCUGUUCGAGAGUCAUUAACAACCGUUUCGAUCCCUUUCUUUCAGAAAUUACAAAGAGGAAAAGGGUUUGGUUAUGGUGGAGGAGGGAAAGGGAGCGUUUAGCCUGUAAAAAAAGAGGCUGUGUUCCGCCUCCCCCCCAAAAUUGUACAGGCGGUCGUGUGCGCCCACGCAUCGAGGUGUUGUAAAAGCUGCCACGGCACUUUUCACCUGUGCAGUGCGAGAUUGGCCAGCCGGUUUAAAAACCCCUCCAAACAAUCAAAGGUUGACCUCGGAUCAGGUAGGGAUACCCGAUGAACUUAAGCAUAUCAAUAAGCGGAGGA